UACGUAGGGCGCAAGCGUUGUCCGGAAUUAUUGGGCGUAAAGAGCUCGUAGGCGGCUUGUCACGUCGGGUGUGAAAGCCCGGGGCUUAACCCCGGGUCUGCAUUCGAUACGGGCUAGCUAGAGUGUGGUAGGGGAGAUCGGAAUUCCUGGUGUAGCGGUGAAAUGCGCAGGUAUCAGGAGGAACACCGGUGGCGAAGGCGGAUCUCUGGGCCAUUACUGACGCUGAGGAGCGAAAGCGUGGGGAGCGAACAGG
This 253-nucleotide ribosomal RNA is filed under the name uncultured bacterium. RNAcentral's name for it is "partial 16S ribosomal RNA". It matches the Rfam family "Bacterial small subunit ribosomal RNA", at positions 524 to 776 of the family's 1533-position model. The record is from RNAcentral.